GUCAAUGACAAAGUACACACUGAUGGGGCAAUCCGUCUUUUCUGUACAGGAGGUAACAGGUUCAUCAUCAAACUGAGCAUGGAGUGGAACUAGUGCCACACAAAGAAGAGUGGAUAGAAAGGCCUGUUGGAACAUCUCAGCAGUUCUUCUGGACAUUUAGAUGCCUGGAAAGAGCGUUCAUCCAAACUCCUCCAAAAGCCUCAGAUGCGGCAGGACAGAGACUCCGCGGGACCGGCCGUAUCACGAAGGCUUCUGCAUCCCCGGAGGAGCAGCCGGGAGCAGCCGAGGCUCCUGCAGCCCAGCUCCUCUCUUUCCUCACAGUCAG
Molecule: long non-coding RNA, 325 nt
Filed under: Gallus gallus (chicken)
Lineage: Eukaryota; Metazoa; Chordata; Aves; Galliformes; Phasianidae
Source: RNAcentral